RNAcentral lists this ribosomal RNA (472 nucleotides) under uncultured bacterium. RNAcentral describes it as "bacterial SSU rRNA". It matches the Rfam family "Bacterial small subunit ribosomal RNA", at positions 9 to 527 of the family's 1533-position model. The record is from RNAcentral.
GAGUUUGAUCCUGGCUCAGAACGAACGCUGGCGGCAUGCCUAACACAUGCAAGUCGAACGAAGCCUUCGGGCUUAGUGGCGCACGGGUGCGUAACGCGUGGGAAUCUGCCCUUGGGUUCGGAAUAACAGUUAGAAAUGACUGCUAAUACCAGAUGAUGUCUUCGGACCAAAGAUUUAUCGCCCAGGGAUGAGCCCGCGUAGGAUUAGGUAGUUGGUGGGGUAAAGGCCUACCAAGCCGACGAUCCUUAGCUGGUCUGAGAGGAUGAUCAGCCACACUGGGACUGAGACACGGCCCAGACUCCUACGGGAGGCAGCAGUGGGGAAUAUUGGACAAUGGGGGAAACCCUGAUCCAGCAAUGCCGCGUGAGUGAUGAAGGCCUUAGGGUUGUAAAGCUCUUUUACCCGGGAUGAUAAUGACAGUACCGGGAGAAUAAGCUCCGGCUAACUCCGUGCCAGCAGCCGCGGUAAUCCC